RNAcentral lists this ribosomal RNA (119 nucleotides) under Pteropus alecto (black flying fox). The record is from RNAcentral. Lineage: Eukaryota; Metazoa; Chordata; Mammalia; Chiroptera; Pteropodidae.
GUCUACGGCCAUGCUACCCUGAACAAGCCCAAUCCCAUCUGAUCUCAGAAGCUAAGCAGGCUUGGGCCUGUUUAGUACUUGGAUAGGAGACCACCUAAGAAUACCAGGUGCUGUAGGUG